GCCUAGGUGGCUCAGUCGGUUGAGUGUCUGACUUCCACUCAGGUCAUGAUCUCAUGGUUUGUGAGUCCGAGCCCCACAUCAGGCU
Molecule: transfer RNA, 85 nt
Filed under: Felis catus (domestic cat)
Lineage: Eukaryota; Metazoa; Chordata; Mammalia; Carnivora; Felidae
Also listed under: 3 other names
Rfam family: tRNA
About the family: Transfer RNA (tRNA) molecules are approximately 80 nucleotides in length. Their secondary structure includes four short double-helical elements and three loops (D, anti-codon, and T loops).
Source: Rfam by way of RNAcentral